This 163-nucleotide ribosomal RNA is filed under the name Elatostema sinopurpureum. Its description in RNAcentral is "5.8S ribosomal RNA". It matches the Rfam family "5.8S ribosomal RNA". Rfam says of the family: 5.8S ribosomal RNA (5.8S rRNA) is a component of the large subunit of the eukaryotic ribosome. It is transcribed by RNA polymerase I as part of the 45S precursor that also contains 18S and 28S rRNA. RNAcentral also lists the same sequence under 2 other names. Lineage: Eukaryota; Viridiplantae; Streptophyta; Magnoliopsida; Rosales; Urticaceae. The record is from RNAcentral.
AAAUGACUCUCGGCAACGGAUAUCUCGGCUCUUGCAUCGAUGAAGAACGUAGCAAAAUGCGAUACGUGGUGUGAAUUGCAGAAUUCCGUGAACCAUCGAGUUUUUGAACGCAAGUUGCGCCCAAUGUCAUUCGGCUGAGGGCACGUCUGCCUGGGCGUCACGC